Molecule: ribosomal RNA, 1272 nt
Filed under: Escherichia coli
Lineage: Bacteria; Pseudomonadati; Pseudomonadota; Gammaproteobacteria; Enterobacterales; Enterobacteriaceae
Description: partial 23S ribosomal RNA
Rfam family: Bacterial large subunit ribosomal RNA
Source: RNAcentral
CGGGACACGUGGUAUCCUGUCUGAAUAUGGGGGGACCAUCCUCCAAGGCUAAAUACUCCUGACUGACCGAUAGUGAACCAGUACCGUGAGGGAAAGGCGAAAAGAACCCCGGCGAGGGGAGUGAAAAAGAACCUGAAACCGUGUACGUACAAGCAGUGGGAGCACGCUUAGGCGUGUGACUGCGUACCUUUUGUAUAAUGGGUCAGCGACUUAUAUUCUGUAGCAAGGUUAACCGAAUAGGGGAGCCGAAGGGAAACCGAGUCUUAACUGGGCGUUAAGUUGCAGGGUAUAGACCCGAAACCCGGUGAUCUAGCCAUGGGCAGGUUGAAGGUUGGGUAACACUAACUGGAGGACCGAACCGACUAAUGUUGAAAAAUUAGCGGAUGACUUGUGGCUGGGGGUGAAAGGCCAAUCAAACCGGGAGAUAGCUGGUUCUCCCCGAAAGCUAUUUAGGUAGCGCCUCGUGAAUUCAUCUCCGGGGGUAGAGCACUGUUUCGGCAAGGGGGUCAUCCCGACUUACCAACCCGAUGCAAACUGCGAAUACCGGAGAAUGUUAUCACGGGAGACACACGGCGGGUGCUAACGUCCGUCGUGAAGAGGGAAACAACCCAGACCGCCAGCUAAGGUCCCAAAGUCAUGGUUAAGUGGGAAACGAUGUGGGAAGGCCCAGACAGCCAGGAUGUUGGCUUAGAAGCAGCCAUCAUUUAAAGAAAGCGUAAUAGCUCACUGGUCGAGUCGGCCUGCGCGGAAGAUGUAACGGGGCUAAACCAUGCACCGAAGCUGCGGCAGCGACGCUGAUGCGUUGUUGGGUAGGGGAGCGUUCUGUAAGCCUGUGAAGGUGUGCUGUGAGGCAUGCUGGAGGUAUCAGAAGUGCGAAUGCUGACAUAAGUAACGAUAAAGCGGGUGAAAAGCCCGCUCGCCGGAAGACCAAGGGUUCCUGUCCAACGUUAAUCGGGGCAGGGUGAGUCGACCCCUAAGGCGAGGCCGAAAGGCGUAGUCGAUGGGAAACAGGUUAAUAUUCCUGUACUUGGUGUUACUGCGAAGGGGGGACGGAGAAGGCUAUGUUGGCCGGGCGACGGUUGUCCCGGUUUAAGCGUGUAGGCUGGUUUUCCAGGCAAAUCCGGAAAAUCAAGGCUGAGGCGUGAUGACGAGGCACUACGGUGCUGAAGCAACAAAUGCCCUGCUUCCAGGAAAAGCCUCUAAGCAUCAGGUAACAUCAAAUCGUACCCCAAACCGACACAGGUGGUCAGGUAGAGAAUACCAAGGCGCUUG